UGAGAUACUAUUCGGGCCUUUGAGCCUAGCAGGCUAAAAUGCCGGUGAAAUACUAUUCAGGCCUUCAAGCCUAGCAGGCUAUAAUGCCGGUGAAAUGAUAUCGGGCUUCGAGCCUAGCAGGCGAAAUGCCGGUGGAUGAAUUCGGGUUUAAAACCUAGCAGGUUAAAUGCCGGUGAUUUGAUAAAAGUCUAAGACUAAGAUACCUCG
RNAcentral lists this long non-coding RNA (207 nucleotides) under Gossypium barbadense (sea-island cotton). Its description in RNAcentral is "long non-coding RNA (GBAR_LNC009372)". The record is from RNAcentral. Lineage: Eukaryota; Viridiplantae; Streptophyta; Magnoliopsida; Malvales; Malvaceae.